Bufo gargarizans (Asiatic toad) is the source of this 1474-nucleotide long non-coding RNA. RefSeq lists it as uncharacterized. The record is from RefSeq and is a predicted model, not a curated record. NCBI's taxonomy places the organism in Eukaryota, Metazoa, Chordata, Amphibia, Anura, Bufonidae. The transcript is spliced from 4 exons.
AUUCAGAUGAACGUAUUCCGUGGUCCUCCACCGCUGGAAGUAUUUCAAUAAAGAGGGGCUUGAGCAGGAGACCCUCCCCUAUGAUAUCCAUUGGACCUGUCACCUCCCAUGUCUGUUUUAGCAACUACUUGCAUUUCCCAUGUAAUAGAAACUCCAUGUUUUGCUAUUGCUUUAUUAUUCCUACUAGAAGGGGGGGGGGGGACAAACUUCAAACACAGGCAAAACUUUUCAAGAUCAGUUUAUGAAAUGUCACCUAGGCUCGUUAUAUAAGGCACCGUUACAUAAUUUUUACAAAAUAAAUUUGCACAUUUUCGCCCCUCCAAACAUGAAUUAACAGAAACUAUCUGGAGCUCGGCGAGAAAAUUCAUCCAAGCCGAGAAAUGGUGCUGUGACUGUGAAACGAGCGCUCGCACCCCGGAUAUAUUUAGCGUCAGGCAGUGAGAUGAGAAAGCAUUACAUAAAAGGCAGUGCACACGGCAACAUAUCAGAAGGCAGUGCACACGGUAACAUAUCAGAAGGCAGUGCACACGGCAACAUAUCAGGUCAGUGCACACGGUAGCAUAUCAGAAGGCAGUUUACACGGUAGCAUAUCAGAAGGCAGUGCACACGGUAGCAUAUCAGAAUGCAGUGCACACGGCAACAUAUCAGAAGGCAGUGCACACGGUAGCAUAUCAGAAGUCAGUGCACACGGUAACAUAUCAGAAGUCAGUGCACACGGUAACAUAUCAGAAGUCAGUGCACACGGUAGCAUAUCAGAAGGCAGAGCACACGGUAGCAUAUCAGGUCAGUGCACACGGUAGCAUAUCAGGUCAGUGCACACUGUAGCAUAUCAGAAGUCAGUGCACACGGUAGCAUAUCAGAAGGCAGUGCACACGGUAGCAUAUCAGGUCAGUGCACACGGUAGCAUAUCAGGUCAGUGCACACUGUAGCAUAUCAGGUCAGUGCACACGGUAGCAUAUCAGGUCAGUGCACACAGUAGCAUAUCAGGUCAGUGCACACGGUAGCAUAUCAGGUCAGUGCACAUGGUAACAUAUCAGGUCAGUGUACACGGUAACAUAUCAGGUCAGUGCACACGGUAGCAUAUCAGGUCAGUGUACACGGUAACAUAUCAGAAGUCAGUGCACACGGUAGCAUAUCAGGUCAGUGCACACGGUAGCAUAUCAGGUCAGUGCACACGGUAGCAUAUCAGAAGUCAGUGCACACGGUAGCAUAUCAGAAGUCAGUGCACACGGUAGCAUAUCAGGUCAGUGCACACGGUAGCAUAUCAGGUCAGUGCACACGGUAGCAUAUCAGAAGUCAGUGCACACGGUAACAUAUCCCAGGUCCGAUGUGUUUUUAUGUGUUGCAGGCACCAGAUGGGAUCGCCCUGUGCAGACUGUGCUCUCUAUAUAAAGCACAAUUCUAGGAGUCAGAAUGUCGGCACUUUUGGGCACUUUUAGGCCACCUUCACACGUUGCGGAAUAUGUACAGUUUA